Long non-coding RNA from Bufo bufo (common toad), 167 nucleotides. RefSeq lists it as uncharacterized. The record is from RefSeq and is a predicted model, not a curated record. NCBI's taxonomy places the organism in Eukaryota, Metazoa, Chordata, Amphibia, Anura, Bufonidae. The transcript has 3 exons.
GGAGAGAGGCAGUAAAGGGGGGCGUGGCCAGCACAGUGACAUCUCAUGUACAGACACAUAUCUGCACUCUCAGGCUUGUGCACCAAACAUCAUCAGAGCAGGGAGAGAAGCUGACAUCACAGGUCAUGUGACCCUCAGUGAAAUCUGGGAAAGCAGCAACUGGAGAU